Molecule: transfer RNA, 72 nt
Filed under: Salix viminalis (osier)
Lineage: Eukaryota; Viridiplantae; Streptophyta; Magnoliopsida; Malpighiales; Salicaceae
Source: RNAcentral
GGGUCCAUAGCUGAGUAGUAGAGCUUUUUACUGCAGAUCAAGAGUUCACCGAUUCGAGCCCAGUUGGUACCU